Molecule: ribosomal RNA, 780 nt
Filed under: Pseudomonas sp. B151
Lineage: Bacteria; Pseudomonadati; Pseudomonadota; Gammaproteobacteria; Pseudomonadales; Pseudomonadaceae
Description: bacterial SSU rRNA
Rfam family: Bacterial small subunit ribosomal RNA
Source: RNAcentral
AUUGAACGCUGGCGGCAGGCCUAACACAUGCAAGUCGAGCGGUAGAGAGAAGCUUGCUUCUCUUGAGAGCGGCGGACGGGUGAGUAAUGCCUAGGAAUCUGCCUAGUGGUGGGGGAUAACGUUCGGAAACGGACGCUAAUACCGCAUACGUCCUACGGGAGAAAGCGGGGGACCUUCGGGCCUCGCGCCAUUAGAUGAGCCUAGGUCGGAUUAGCUAGUUGGUGAGGUAAUGGCUCACCAAGGCUACGAUCCGUAACUGGUCUGAGAGGAUGAUCAGUCACACUGGAACUGAGACACGGUCCAGACUCCUACGGGAGGCAGCAGUGGGGAAUAUUGGACAAUGGGCGAAAGCCUGAUCCAGCCAUGCCGCGUGUGUGAAGAAGGUCUUCGGAUUGUAAAGCACUUUAAGUUGGGAGGAAGGGUGGUAACUUAAUACGUUGCUACUUUGACGUUACCGACAGAAUAAGCACCGGCUAACUUCGUGCCAGCAGCCGCGGUAAUACGAAGGGUGCAAGCGUUAAUCGGAAUUACUGGGCGUAAAGCGCGCGUAGGUGGUUCAGUAAGUUGGAAGUGAAAUCCCCGGGCUCAACCUGGGAACUGCUUUCAAAACUGCUGAGCUAGAGUACGGUAGAGGGUAGUGGAAUUUCCUGUGUAGCGGUGAAAUGCGUAGAUAUAGGAAGGAACACCAGUGGCGAAGGCGACUACCUGGACUGAUACUGACACUGAGGUGCGAAAGCGUGGGGAGCAAACAGGAUUAGAUACCCUGGUAGUCCACGCCGU